RNAcentral lists this ribosomal RNA (129 nucleotides) under Carex rostrata. RNAcentral describes it as "partial 5.8S ribosomal RNA". It matches the Rfam family "5.8S ribosomal RNA", at positions 30 to 154 of the family's 154-position model. From Rfam's summary of the family: 5.8S ribosomal RNA (5.8S rRNA) is a component of the large subunit of the eukaryotic ribosome. It is transcribed by RNA polymerase I as part of the 45S precursor that also contains 18S and 28S rRNA. Functionally, it is thought that 5.8S rRNA may be involved in ribosome translocation. Lineage: Eukaryota; Viridiplantae; Streptophyta; Magnoliopsida; Poales; Cyperaceae. The record is from RNAcentral.
GCAUCGAUGAAGAACGUAGCGAAAUGCGAUACGUGGUGUGAAUUGCAGAAUCCCGUGAACCAUCGAGUCUUUGAACGCAAGUUGCGCCCGAGGGACCCUCCCGAGGGCACGCCUGCCUCAAGGGCGUUA